Molecule: unclassified non-coding RNA, 908 nt
Filed under: Hevea brasiliensis (rubber tree)
Lineage: Eukaryota; Viridiplantae; Streptophyta; Magnoliopsida; Malpighiales; Euphorbiaceae
Source: RNAcentral
UUUUCUCUUCUGGAUUACUUCUGUAUUGAAGAGUGGAGACUAGAUUGAGAACAUUAAACUUAGUAGACAAGACACCACAAAAAGAUCUUAGGGGAGAUAAAGGUUUUAUUGUAAGAAGACAAAAGCAUCCAUCUGCAACUUCUGUAAUAUAAUUCUAUCUAAUAAAAGCACUGGUGCACAAAGAUUGACUGACGCAGAAGUGAUUCCAAUUCUGGCCUUGAAAAUAACUAAUAGCAACAGAGGUGGUGUGUGGAUAGUGGAGAAAGACGGAUAAAGCUGUGAUGACAUUGAUAUACUGUCCUCUAUGCCCUACCAAAAACUGGUAAAGAGAAUAUAUAGUAAUUGUAACCACAAUUACAAGGACUUUCUUGCCAUAAAAUGAGAGUUAUACUAGACCUUAACCACAUCGUCAAAUUCUUCAGAAGGUGAAAUUGGGGGGCUGUCCAAUUCUCCCAAGUUCAAAGGUCCACUGCUGUGAGAGAGCCUCCCUGAUGUCAAUGGUGACACUUCAGAUUGUGACAUGAUACGCUCGAGGACUAGCUGGGAAGUAGCAGAAGAAGUGAAAGAGAACUGGUUGGCAGAAACACAGUCCUCAUUCUCAGCAGAAACAUCUUCGAGUAUAGAAGUGGUGGUGCAACUGGAGUUACUAUUAGUCGACUUGUUGGAAGCCAUGCAAGAGAGAGCUUUGGAAACUUCAAGAGCUGAGACACUCCAAGACCUUGAGAGGAACUCCAUGGGAACUUUUGGGCUUUCAGGCAGUUGCAUGGAGCAGGCAGAGUUGUGCUCCAGCUUGCGAGGGGUGAUGAGAGGGAUCUCUUCCAUGGGCGAGGAUGAUCCAGGAAACGAGCUGGAUUUGAAAUUUUAGCGAAGGAAAGUAGGGCUUUAGGAUUACUUUAUGCCCAUAGGCU